UACGAAGGGGGCUAGCGUUGCUCGGAAUCACUGGGCGUAAAGCGCACGUAGGCGGCUUCUUAAGUCAGGGGUGAAAUCCUGGAGCUCAACUCCAGAACUGCCUUUGAUACUGGGUAGCUUGAGUCCGGGAGAGGUGAGUGGAACUGCGAGUGUAGAGGUGAAAUUCGUAGAUAUUCGCAAGAACACCAGUGGCGAAGGCGGCUCACUGGCCCGGUACUGACGCUGAGGUGCGAAAGCGUGGGGAGCAAACAGG
RNAcentral lists this ribosomal RNA (253 nucleotides) under uncultured bacterium. RNAcentral describes it as "partial 16S ribosomal RNA". It matches the Rfam family "Bacterial small subunit ribosomal RNA", at positions 524 to 776 of the family's 1533-position model. The record is from RNAcentral.